CAGAUAGUGCAUUUACAGUAUUCAGGGCCCGUGUAAACGCGCAUCUGGCACGAGCCCCAACUGCCCUGUAAUCUCAUAUUGGCUCGCUUCCGUUUAGCUCUCUCGUUCGUGCUCUCUCGUUUGCCCACGACUCUUUAUGUUUACUCCCUUCCUAUCUUUUGCUCUCAUGUUGUUCGUCUCCUUCGUUAUUCUUUUCUACUUAUACACCCGCGGUUUCCCUUAAUUAACCCCUUUAAUGCGCGUUGGCAUAUAUUUUCUUUUAAACGAGGGACUUCUUGAAAACUGUCAUGGCGUCGCUCGUGUCUGUUGUUCGAUUAACGCGCGUAUUGAAUCUUCCUAUUUUCGUCAAUUUAUAAAUACCGAUUUAAAUAGACACGAAGUAAUUUAGUAAUUGAUAUGGAUUUAAAUAAUGUUCCUCUUUUAAAACGUUCAUCUCUAUUAAUCUGUGCGAUUAUACGAAGAUACGAAUUUUCUCAGUUUUAAGCUUCGAUUUUUAAUCACGCGCACAAUACGAUGCGCGCGCAGACGAUUCGAUUAUGUUGAGAACGUCAGAUCACAAGGCGUCGCGUCACGCUUCCUCCUCGUUAAUUUAACUCUCGACGGAAGUGUUUUCUGCUUCGCGGAAAGUGUGAUUGAGCCUGACAGUGGAAAGAGAGAAACGCGUCAAGCCCGCGGGCAAAUUGCUUUCCGACCGGCACCUGGACUACCUCUCUCGUAGGUUUUAUUCCCGUCACGUUAAAGGACAAUAGGAGAGGAUGAAACAAAAGAACGGUCGUUUUCGCGUUACUAGUUUCAAUGCUUCUAACACAACGCCAGCCUGGAUUAAUUAAUUCUCAUCGUGCAAACUAGCCCUUCGUUUUCAUUUUUUUUCUCUCCUUCCUCUUUUUUAUGACGGGGGAAACACUUUCCGACAUCGUAGAAAAUCUUUUAUGUUUGCGCGUUAUUCGAUUUUUUUUCGGUGUAUAUUUUUUUAGAUAAAAGUUUUAAUCAAAAAUAUUUGUAGUUAUAUAUCACGGAACAAUUGCUUUAGUUGAUUCAAUUAAUUUCUAAAUGAUAUCGAUAGUCGAAUAUAAAAGUGUUCCACGAUGAAUCGUCUAUGUAAGGGAUGUCAGCUGAUACCACUUUCCUCCGUUAAAAAGUCAAAUGAGGAGAAGAGACGUCUCUAAUAAUAGCCUGUCCCCGGUGCCGCGACGCUCUGGCGGCGUCGGGGCGCACUCGUUAUUUGCAGUUAAUAUAACACCUUUACGCAUGUAAUUAAAAUCGAUGUUUCUCUUUUAUGAACAACUUUCGACACGUUCUUAGCAAUUCACACUAGCACGUGAAGGAUAAACAUUGAAUGGAUCACAUUCGAAUAUUGCAAUUUUUUAAACGAGCAACGAGUGACGACGAAACUGAUCUGUUGAGAUUGUUUGUUCUAUACGUACAGGUUACGUCACGUGACGUCAUGCGAACGCGUAAUAUUAACCUCACGUGGGACAAACUAUUUAUUAGAAUACGCGGCCUUUUUUUAUUCUUUUUAAAUUACCUGGAGAUUCGUAUUGAGUUUAUUAUUCUUAUUUUAUGUGUACUAAAUUCUUAAUUUUUUUAUCACAGCAAAGGAAUUAAUUUUCUUACUUUAAUAUUUGUUAUUCACUAAUUUUCAAGGCUAUUUAAUGAAUUAUACAUUUAAAAAUUACAGGUAAUUUUACAGGUAAUUUUAAAAGUUUACGUCACACACGAUAUUAUCGAUGUAACACACGAUUAAAAUGCUGACUUAAAGAAAUACACGAAGUCAGUCGAUUAUACAAGCUUCUUAAAAGUUCUUGAACGACACCGAUGCUACUACCGAGAGGACAGUUACGUGAUGAUGCGUUUAAAAGUGUAAUAAUGGCAUAAGACGCGGACACAUUAUUACACAAUCAUGUUCGCGGCUUAGACCUUCGAUAAUAUUGGCCGAACGUUAGUAGAACCUUGCGUGCCAUUUUGAUCACGAAUACUCUUCCGCCAAUUGUAACAUACAUAAAUAGAUAAUCCUUGGUAUUAGAAGAAAAUUAGAAAAAAACGACAGUAGCUACGUAAAAUUAUCUACCUAAUACUACCUUAUAUAUCACUAACUCAACUAUAUGAUUAUAUAAGGAAAUUGUCGAUAGAAUCUUAUUAAAUACAUUUUUAAACAAUGUAUCGCGUGUUGAUAUAAAAAAUUGACAAAAAGUGAUAAAAAAUAUUUCGCGAUAAAGUAAAAGAUCAUCACUAACUCGCAAAGUCCGCGAUCUUUUACCGACAGAGCAAUGCAAUUGUGAUCCACAGCGUGCAGUCUAAUUAACCUGUUGUACGUUACACAACGCGACGAACUAUGCGUGAAUUCGAUAAAAGAUUCGCAAAAAAAGCACUGAAAGGUUCGACGUUGAUCGAACGCGCUACCACGCCAACAUUAUCGACAAGACAAUUGUAAUUUACAUGCGUUACGCAAUCAUGUCCGAGAGCGCGGCUCGAAAUAUUCACUGUACGCUUCGAGACUACAUUUCGAUUAAUAAACCGUCGAGUCGAUUAUUGUAGUUGACGAUCUAUCCCAGAUUAUAUAAUCGAAAGAUGGACCGUGGAACGGUUAAAGAUAAACCUGAGGCGCGCGAACCCGACUCGAAAAACAAACGCAGCUUCUUGUGACACAGCACCGCGUCCGACCGAGGCACUGCUGCCAGUGGCAACUGCAACUCAUGCUCCGUGCUCCACGGAAUACAGUCGAGAGAUCUUAAACGUUCGUUACACAAUUACGACCUUGAAGACACACAGUAGCGUGUUCAGGAAUUUAUCCGACGAAAUCGAUUCGGAAUUCGAGAUUCUCCGCGUUGCCGACCAGGCUUUGUGUAUUUAUACGAAGGCGCGUAUGUAUGUAUUUACGUGGCUAUAUUUCGAACGGUACUGUACUCGUGCACCGAGCCCGACACACAUACGACAGCGACACCUCGGCGACGACUGGGAACGAUAUUUACGCUCGAAACAUCGAAUCGACUGAAAGAAGAGAUCUUACGAUCGUUUUCACAAUAUUGAGUAAUCCUCGCAGAUAUGUACGUUCUUAUGAUUGAUCGUGAUAAACCACCGGAAAGAACCACUCCGAUGUACUUAUAGAUUAUCUAACAAAACAAAUUACUACAGAAAGAUUUCAACACCGAAUAAAGACGAUGCAAAAUUCAAAGCGGGUACACGUGUAUAUGCGUGACGAUCAACCGUUGCAACCUAACCCGAGGGGGGCAAAGCGAGAUGGUUGGCGGGGACCAGGCACACGAAAAUUGAUUUCGAUCGAUCAAGGUAUACGACCCAGGCGUACAAUAGGAAAACCAAACGAUCGUGCGCGCGAUUCUCCACGAAAAACACGACACGACGUUAAACGCACACGCACACGCGCACGCAAGCACAUACACACACAUACACACAGAGGAAGAGAGAAUAUAUACGACACGCGCGACGACUAGUUGACGACUAGAGUAGUAGUCAUGGUGCUGUAGCGAGCAGCCACAGUGAACUACGAUAUGUGACGGUAAGCCGUUGAGCAGCAGCAGCAGCAGCAGCAAGCAGAAACGGCGCUACAUUCUCGUCUCUAUCUCGACUCUGUUAUACAAUCCACACGCAUAUAUCGGUUCUUUCUGCUUAGACCAGUGUUUCCGCAACCGAUCUGUGAGGAGAACGAUGUUUUUAGGCUCUGAUGAAAGAACGUUAGAAACUACUGUAUCGUUCCUUUGGUCUGCAGUUGAUAGGGAAAAUGCAGAGAACAAUAGUAGUUGCGACUGAGAUUUCAAAGAUUUCAUGGAUUUGUGUAACACGAGUUAGAAAGCACGUUAGAAGAAGGAACAAACCGAAGCUAACAUACUUCGCUAACCAAAUCGCUAUUUAUAGCGAUGGUGCGGAUGGGCUGCUGGUGGGAAACUAAAAUUCUAUUAAUAGAGUCAUUCUUGUUGUUAUUUGUGAAAGGUAGAUUUCAUCUGUUAAGAAUUUGAUUUUUACAGAUGAUUUUAUUAGAGUUUAAUCUGGCUAUUUUUGGUAGCAAUUAAAUUUGUUAUUCUGCUGUGUUUUCUAUUUUGUAACAAGGAGAAGAAGAUGGGAAAACAUAAAAAGACGACAGAGUUGUAUUUCUAUCGGAGUAGGUGAAUAUUUUAGUUUGUAGAAGAGAUGUUUUAAGAAAGGCAAUUUAGGGAGCACUAUAGCAGAAACUAGUGACUCAAUGCGCGCGCCGAAUCAGUCUCCCUUAAUGUGUGUUAGCGACGUACGAAGAUAGAAGACAAAUGGAAGAAAACAUGUAAAAAGCAAUUGCUGCUGCUCUAUCGUGCGUGCUGCCGUCGAUUGAGGUGAAUAGUGCCAAGGGACAAAGAUUAAUGACUCUAUAAUUAUUUACUUCUUUUAAAACUUAGGAAGACUCUCUAACACGAGAAUUUGCUAUAAUUGAGUUAAAAACUAUCAAAAAGGAAACUAAAAAAAGUUCAUUCUAAGGUUAAGCUUAAGGAAACUCAGAUGACAAAUGGUCUUUAGAAGUCUUGAAGAAUAAUUAAUUCCCUAUAAUUCCUAAUCUAUAUUUCGCCUUGGAAAAAGGAAAAGAUGUUAAAAACAUUGAUUCUACGAAUCGUGCUUUGAUCGAAACUCGAUACGGAUAAAUCGGGAAAGUAAAAAUGAAACAGGAAACGAACGAAGAAGAUGGAGGGCGGCAAGUAAACGAGGCGGACGCUCGUGAGAAAAAUCCAGGGACGAUCAACGUAGUUUUCAAGCGAGGUAAAAGCCACAGAGAGCAGUGGUGGUUGUAAUUGGACCACUUUGCCGUUAAACGAGCUUAACGAUCGAUUCUGCCUUCCACUCUAAUGACAUAAUGCAGAGAGGCGACGGAAUGGAUCUCCUGACCAGUGACGUUGUUUUAAUGAUGCGAGCGUCACCGGUUGAUCCCGCGACGAAUCAUCCACUGACCUGUUCUACCGACUCAUCUCCGGAUAUAUAUAUAUAAGUCACAUACUGCAUUCCAACUGAGAAAAGCGGAUGAAGUAUUCUUAUUUAAUUAAUUUAAUUAACACAGAUUUAAUCAACACUUGCUACUAUACAAACUGGUAUUAUACAAUUACCAGAUUUCUCAUUAGGGAACAAAUAAUUAUAUACAUACAUUGCUGGUUAUGAGUAGUAGAACACCUGGGCUCUUUUGCACAAUUGGACUAGUAUUACUAGACAUAUUAUUAGAACAAUAUUAUUAGAAAUUGUUAUAAAUUAUCAAGACUAAUAAAUUUUCUUGCAUAUAAUAGCAAUAGGUUUGAUAAUGUAAGUGUAACUUAGAAUCUUUAGAACUUCUUUAAUUUUCUAGUUACAUAUUUUAUUAUGAAUCUGUUAUUUCAUUCACGCUAUAUAUGUCUUAUAAUACGAACUACGAUAUGAGAUAAAAUUUAAUGUAAACUUAUAUCGUGAGGAAAUUUAUAACUUUUCAAUGAAUGUAACCAACAGGUAUAGGAGUCCUAAUACUUAUGGUCAGUAGUAUACUUCAACCAUUCACCUAUGAGAAACCUCUCUUGCUCUCCAUACAAAUCAACCUCACUUUAAAAAUACCAUUACAUCACAUUAGAUCACAUAGAAGAACACAUAAGGACGAC
Molecule: long non-coding RNA, 5594 nt
Organism: Bombus pyrosoma
Lineage: Eukaryota; Metazoa; Arthropoda; Insecta; Hymenoptera; Apidae
Exons: 2
Source: RefSeq, a predicted model, not a curated record